This 399-nucleotide ribosomal RNA is filed under the name uncultured soil bacterium. RNAcentral describes it as "bacterial SSU rRNA". It matches the Rfam family "Bacterial small subunit ribosomal RNA", at positions 975 to 1375 of the family's 1533-position model. The record is from RNAcentral.
CUGGGCUUGACAUGCAAGGAAAUCUCAUAGAGAUAUGAGGUCCGUAAGGGCCUUGCACAGGUGGUGCAUGGCUGUCGUCAGCUCGUGUCGUGAGAUGUUGGGUUAAGUCCCGCAACGAGCGCAACCCUCAUCCUAUGUUGCCAGCGCGUAAUGGCGGGGACUCAUAGGAGACUGCCGUGGUCAACACGGAGGAAGGUGGGGAUGACGUCAAGUCAUCAUGCCCCUUAUGUCCAGGGCUGCACACAUGCUACAAUGGCCGGUACAAAGGGCUGCGAUACCGCAAGGUGGAGCGAAUCCCAGAAAGCCGGUCUCAGUUCGGAUUGGGGUCUGCAACUCGACCCCAUGAAGUCGGAGUUGCUAGUAAUCGCAGAUCAGCAACGCUGCGGUGAAUACGUUCCC